This is a long non-coding RNA of Prionailurus viverrinus (fishing cat), 2928 nucleotides long. RefSeq lists it as uncharacterized. The transcript has 3 exons. NCBI's taxonomy places the organism in Eukaryota, Metazoa, Chordata, Mammalia, Carnivora, Felidae. The record is from RefSeq and is a predicted model, not a curated record.
UUAUGGUGGAAGAACAAUACAGCACAUUGGAAAAAAGAAAAGGUUUUUUAAACCUGAAGCAAGAGACAGAAGGGGAUUCGUAAAAGAUAAGGUUCCUCCAGUUCUUGUCAUCUCACUUAAUUCUCAUGGAAAUUCUCUGAGGUCUUGGACUCCACCGAAUUACAUUCCAGCUUGCUUGCAAAUGGCAGAUCAUGGGACUUCUCGACCUCCAUCAUUGUAUGACCCAAUUCCUAUGAUAAAGCUUCUCUCAUAAAUAUCUAUAGAUACCCUCCUGGUUCUGUUUCUCUGGAGAAACCUGACUAAUACAGGAAAAGCAUAUAAAUGAAAUCUUCUUAAAAAGGAACUUGGAAGGAAGACGUAAGCUUCCUAAGUAUCACCGAGAGCUUCCAGCUAGCGUCUUCCGAAUUGCCCUACCACACACAGUUCUUUCUCCAGCUCAGGAGCUCUCCUCCCUUACACACUCUGGCAGCCCUCCUCCCCGUGAGAUAUCUUGUUCCAGAACAAGAGACACCUAAGAAAAAUAAAUUUACGUGUUGUGAAAACGGACAUACAUCCUUCAGGACUCACGAAAGCUGCCUCCCAGCCUUCCACGCCAUCACGUUGCCUGUGUGCUCUCCGGUGUGUUGAUCACGGUGUCCACAGGAAGAUGAUUCUCUUCAGCCUGAAGCUCGUUUGCCCGUGUGUAGGGCAUUGAAUGUUGGUUUCUCUGGGUUAAAUCACGGAGAGGAAGGCCUGCGGGGAGGACGCCGUGCAGAGCUGCAGUGACGUCCUCCACCACCCUGCGUGACUCCACCUGUGACACGGCGCCAGCCUAGGGAGUCUCCCCGGAAUUACCUUCAAGAAAAUGCUGGGUUCAGGCCUCCUCUCCCUUCCCGUACUCUCAAAACCUGAGCCCUAAUUUUAAUUUUCUCUGAUGAACCUGAAAAGAUGCCCACUUUUGAUUCCUGAAAGGUUGUCCACAAGGAGUAAAAUAAUUCGAUUUAACGGAUGAAGAAGGACUUCUGGAAUCCACUUGCCCGCAUUUAGAAUGUUCCGUACCAGGGAAUAUCAAGGUACUCCCGUUUGGUUACAUAUGUGCCGACGAGGUAAUCGUGGUUUAAGGCAAACCUUCGGUUAUGAGCUAAUCAGUUCAGCUCGCUGACUAUUGGCCUGCUAUGGCAGGACAAGAAUAAUUAAGUGCCACUUAAAGGUAUGGGAAGAACGUUAGUCAGAAAUUGAUGUGCCUCCAGAAGGCUCCAAAUGGCCGACGUUUAAUGGUCCUCUGUACGUUGCCAUGGCAACUCACUUUGGUACCUCACAUAUCCUCAGUGUAAGAAAACAAGGGGCAGAGUGUUCUUAGGAAGGUGCAACCCCCUUUAAGCAGAUCUAGAAGCAUCGCAGAUGAACAGAACUUGAAACAUUCCGCCAUGAAUAUUCAUGAAGUAAGUUGUUUUUUGUUGCCUGCCUAGUCAGCAGUCACAAAACACAUGGUGUGUGUUGGCAGCAUCUUGCCUAGGUAGAGGGCUAUGGACUGAGGCAAUGGCAGCAACCAGGACCUGUGAGGCUGACUGACAUUUCCAUCUGUAGCGAAGGCUGGUAAUUAACAGGAAGGAGUAUGCCUGCAGCAUUGCACCAUCUGCUAGGGAAACGGCUCAAUAAGAAAGGAGCUGGAUAGCAUCUCAGCGGUGGCGCGAUCUGGUUCCGACAUGAGGCCGGGCAUCUGUUAGCUGAGGAGACGGACUAUUAGGGAAUUCGACUGGGAAUGAACAACAUGGAAAGAGCACUCUGACCUAGCCCAUAAAAGCAACUCUUUAGAAAUGGUGUCUUUUUUUCUUACUUACCCAAGCCUUCUGAAAAUGGUUUGCCGAGGGACCAUUACAGAUCUGUUUGAAGGAACACAAUGGCUUCAAAAAAUGCUGUUUUAUUCCGACAUGAAAUUCUUGAAAUCAGGAUACAGCUGUCAUCUUUUGACAAUAGAGCUAAUUUCAGAGCGAGGAUAUGAGGUUAAAUUCCUCCUUUUGUCGUUUAGAUUGGGGAGCAGUGGGGGUGGGGAAACAAAAUGAUCAUUUCAAUGCUAUGCUAUUCAAAAUCAAGGAGACCAAAAAAAAAAGCAAAAAAAAAAAAAAAAACAAACCACAACCCUAGGAUGCCCUGGCAGAAAGUGAGCAGAUCAGAAAUCACCCCCAAGUUCUUGUAAUGUCUUCAUGUUCUGUUUUGUUUUAGUCGUACUGUUUUCUAAUGCAAAUCUUUCUUGUCAUGAAAAACCACACUUUGGGACUUGGGGCAUCAACCAUACUUUACUAGUCUCAGGACCUUCGUUGGAGAGAAUGUUGGUGGUUUAGGUACCAAAUCUAGAAAUGGGAGUCCAGUUCAUGAGAGGGUUAGUGUGUACUUGGGGCAAGACGAAUGGGCAGAACAUCGCUAUCAACCCCCCCCCCCACAUCACCCUCAUAUUCUUAGGAGAUAGAUAAACUUCUUCCACAGGGGAACCCAUCUUUGAGAGGAGUCAGCAGACAGAAACCUUGAUCUCCCCAUCAUUCUAUAGGUUAAUGCAACUUUUAAGAAUAUGUAUUAGUCUUUCAACCACUGGGGAAAAACUGUUGACCUAAACCAUCUCAGUGAGGUUGGAGCUUAGAAUCUAUUACCACCAUUCCCUUGACUGGGACUCCUGACUCAUGUACAGAGUCCCCCAGAUGGCAGAUGACUUUGUGUGUGUGUGUGUGUGUGUGUGUGUAUGUGUGUGUGUGUUAAAGUUACCAAAUCAGAGCCAUUGAAUGAUAUUUACUGAGACCUCAUGGUACCAUAUGGAAUCAAAAAAUAUAUAGACCUUGGAAUUUAAAUUCAUCUGAGAAAGGUGGACGCAGGAUUCAUGUUUAGAAUAUUUUGUUCUCUCUCCCUCUCCUGUGAAUGCUGAUUAUUUUGCUGAUCUACGGGAACGCUGAUGUCUGA